This 254-nucleotide ribosomal RNA is filed under the name uncultured bacterium. Its description in RNAcentral is "partial 16S ribosomal RNA". It matches the Rfam family "Bacterial small subunit ribosomal RNA", at positions 524 to 776 of the family's 1533-position model. The record is from RNAcentral.
GACAGAGGGCGCGAGCGUUGUUCGGAAUCACUGGGCGUAAAGCGUGCGCAGGCGGACCAGGCAAGUCUGGAGUGAAAUCUCGCCGCUCAACGGCGAGGCUGCUUUGGAAACUGCGGGUCUGGAGACCGGUAGAGGCUGGUAGAAUUGCAGGUGUAGCGGUGGAAUGCGUAGAGAUCUGCAAGAAUACCCGUGGCGAAGGCGGCCAGCUGGGCCGGUUCUGACGCUGAGGUGCGAAAGCGUGGGGAGCAAACAGG